This 255-nucleotide ribosomal RNA is filed under the name uncultured bacterium. RNAcentral's name for it is "partial 16S ribosomal RNA". It matches the Rfam family "Bacterial small subunit ribosomal RNA", at positions 57 to 305 of the family's 1533-position model. The record is from RNAcentral.
GCAAGUCGAGGGGUAACAGGAGAGAGCUUGCUUUCUUGCUGACGACCGGCGCACGGGUGCGUAACGCGUAUAGAACCUACCUUUUACAGAGGGAUAGCCUUUAGAAAUGAAGAUUAAUACCUCAUAGUAUUUUAGAUUGGCAUCGAUCAAAAAUUAAAGAUUUAUCGGUAAAAGAUGGCUAUGCGUCCUAUUAGCUAGAUGGUAAGGUAACGGCUUACCAUGGCAACGAUAGGUAGGGGCCCUGAGAGGGGGAUC